Molecule: ribosomal RNA, 497 nt
Filed under: uncultured bacterium
Lineage: Bacteria
Description: bacterial SSU rRNA
Rfam family: Bacterial small subunit ribosomal RNA
Source: RNAcentral
GAUGAAACGCUGGCGGCGUGCUUAACACAUGCAAGUCGAGCGAAGCAGUUAAGUUGAUUUCUUCGGAUUGAUUCUUAACUGACUGAGCGGCGGACGGGUGAGUAACGCGUGGGUGACCUGCCCCAUACCGGGGGAUAACAGCUGGAAACGGCUGCUAAUACCGCAUAAGCGCACAGAGCUGCAUGGCUCGGUGUGAAAAACUCCGGUGGUAUGGGGAUGGGCCCGCGUCUGAUUAGGCAGUUGGCGGGGUAACGGCCCACCAAACCGACGAUCCAUAGCCGGCCUGAGAGGGUGAACGGCCACAUUGGGACUGAGACACGGCCCAGACUCCUACGGGAGGCAGCAGUGGGGAAUAUUGCACAAAUGGGGAAAACCCUGAUGCAGCGACGCCGCGUGAAGGAAGAAGUAAUCUCGGUAUGUAAACUUCUAUCAGCAGGGAGAAAAUGACGGUACCUGACUAAGAAGCCCCGGCUAAACUACGUGCCAGCAGCCGCGGU